This 292-nucleotide ribosomal RNA is filed under the name uncultured bacterium. Its description in RNAcentral is "partial 16S ribosomal RNA". It matches the Rfam family "Bacterial small subunit ribosomal RNA", at positions 505 to 796 of the family's 1533-position model. The record is from RNAcentral.
GUGUCAGCCGCCGCGGUAAUACAGAGGGGGCAAGCGUUAUUCGGAAUUAUUGGGCGUAAAGGGCGCGUAGGCGGCUUUUCAAGUGACGGGUGAAAUCCCUCGGCUUAACCGAGGAACUGCCUGUCAGACUGGAAGGCUUGAGACCGGGAGAGGUGAGUGGAAUUCCCAGUGUAGCGGUGAAAUGCGUAGAUAUUGGGAGGAACACCAGUGGCGAAGGCGGCUCACUGGACCGGAACUGACGCUGAGGCGCGAAAGCGUGGGGAGCAAACAGGAUUAGAAACCCCCGUAGUCC